Olea europaea var. sylvestris is the source of this 258-nucleotide long non-coding RNA. RefSeq lists it as uncharacterized. NCBI's taxonomy places the organism in Eukaryota, Viridiplantae, Streptophyta, Magnoliopsida, Lamiales, Oleaceae. The transcript has 4 exons. The record is from RefSeq and is a predicted model, not a curated record.
AAGCGGACGAAUUCCUGAAACCUUUUCUGGUCUGUCAAAAGUAGAUUACAUUUAUCUAACUGGAAACUCAUUAACUGGUCCAUUACCUCCUUGGAUGCUGGAAGUAGGAGAUGAUAACAUUGAUCUAUCCUACAACAACCUCACAUCUGAAAGCAGACCCACAAAUUGUCAGCAGGGAACCCUGAAUUUGUUUGCAAGCUCAAAGGGCAAUACAACGUGAGUUCCUUUGUUUCUUUAAUGCUGUGUUCCCAAUGAUAU